RNAcentral lists this ribosomal RNA (484 nucleotides) under uncultured bacterium. Its description in RNAcentral is "partial 16S ribosomal RNA". It matches the Rfam family "Bacterial small subunit ribosomal RNA", at positions 28 to 507 of the family's 1533-position model. The record is from RNAcentral.
AUUGAACGCUGGCGGCAUGCUUUACACAUGCAAGUCGAACGGCAGCGCGGGCUUCGGCCUUGCGGCGCGUGGCGAACGGGGGAGUAAUGCGUCGGAACGUGCCCAGUAGUGGGGGCUAGCCCGGCGAGAGACGGAUUGAUACCGCAUACUACCUGAGGGUGAAAUCGAGGGUCCGAAAGGCCUCGCGCUAAUGGAGCAGCCGAUGUCGGAUUAGCUAGUUGGUCGGGUUAAGGCUUACCAAGGCGGCGAUCCGUAGCUGGACGGAGAGGAAGACCGGCCACACUGGAACUGGGACCCGGCCCAGACUCCUACGGGAGGCAGCGGUGGGGAAUUUUGGACAAUGGGGGCAAUCCUGAUCCAGCCAUGCGGCGUGCGGGAAGAAGGCCUUCGGGUUUUAAACCGCGUUUGUUCGGGAAGAAAUCCUCUGGGCUAAUACCCCGGGGGGAUGACGGUACCGGAAGAAUAAGCACCGGCUAACUACGUG